Molecule: ribosomal RNA, 375 nt
Filed under: uncultured bacterium
Lineage: Bacteria
Description: bacterial SSU rRNA
Rfam family: Bacterial small subunit ribosomal RNA
Source: RNAcentral
UAAUACGAAGGGGGCGAGCGUUGUUCGGAAUUACUGGGCGUAAAGGGCGCGUAGGCGGUUUGCCAAGUCAGAUGUGAAAGCCCCGGGCUCAACCUGGGAACCGCAUUUGAGACUGGCCGACUCGAGUUCGGGAGAGGAUAGUGGAAUUCCCAGUGUAGAGGUGAAAUUCGUAGAUAUUGGGAAGAACACCGAAGGCGAAGGCAGCUAUCUGGACCGACACUGACGCUGAGGCGCGAAAGCGUGGGGAGCAAACAGGAUUAGAUACCCUGGUAGUCCACGCCGUAAACGAUGAGUGCUAGCCGCUGGGGAGCUUGCUCUUCGGUGGCGCCGCUAACGCAUUAAGCACUCCGCCUGGGGAGUACGGCCGCAAGGUUA